UCAUCAGCUAGCUCAUCAGGCCAAGUCCUCUGCUAGCUCAUCAGCUAGCUCAUCAGGCUAAGUCCUCUGCUAGCUUAUCAGCUAGCUCAGCAGCCAAGUCCUCUGCUAGCUGAUCAGCUAGCUCAUCAGGCUAAUCCUCUGCUAGCUCAUCAGCUAGCUCAUCAGGCCAAGUCCUCUGCUAGCUCAUCAGCUAGCUCAUCAGCCGAGUCCUCUGCUAGCUCAUCAGCUAGCUCAUCAGCCAAGUCCUCUGCUAGCUUAUCAGCUAGCUCAGCAGCCAAGUCCUCUGCUAGCUUAUCAGCUAGCUCAGCAGCCAAGUCCUCUGCUAGCUUAUCAGCUAGCUCAGCAGCCAAGUCCUCUGCUAGCUCAUCAGCUAGCUCAGCAGGCUAACUCAUCAGCUAGCUCAGCAGGCUAAGUCCUCUGCUAGCUCAUCAGCUAGCUCAGCAGGCUAAGUCCUCUGCUAGCUCAUCUGCUAGCUCAUCAGGCUAAGUC
This is a long non-coding RNA of Gasterosteus aculeatus aculeatus (three-spined stickleback), 489 nucleotides long. The record is from Ensembl. Lineage: Eukaryota; Metazoa; Chordata; Actinopteri; Perciformes; Gasterosteidae.